UUUUUUUUUCCACCUAGAGUGUGAAUCGAAUGAAAGGCUUGGGAAGGCAUUGUGCCUUUUGUAUUCGGCCUUCGGGCAUGGGCUAAGGUUGGGUAAAUCAACCCUUCUUAGAUUAUCUCUGUGUUUCUCUUUUAAAAUCAAAUCAACAAGCUUUCUCCUCUAUGCGCAUCUUGUGAGUGUUGAUUCAACUUGGCCGACCAAAGGGAUUAGCUGCAGCUAGUAAUCUCCUUAAUUGUUCAAGGAUUUCAAGGAAGGAACCAACCUCCUUCUUGUGCUAUUUUCAAGAUAAGUUGCAGCUAAUAAUCUUUGGCUUGUGUCAAAAGGAGUCUAAGUGUGCUGAGCAUCCAAAUCAACUCGGCGUUGCCUACCCUCGGUCGAGGCAGCAUUACCAAAUUCAAGGGCGGACGCCAAGGAGCAAAUGAACCCUAGUGGUGUGCGCGUGGCCCACCGACGCACCCCACCACAUUGAUCCUAGGAGGGGUUCAAGAUGGUCGUUAUGGUGUUCUAGGAGCAGUCUCAGACCAAUCUUGUUACGACCACCCACCCUGUCUUUCCAAAAUCUUCCACUAUUUAUGAUCAUUUAUAAUUAUUUAAUAUUAAGACCUGGUUUUGUAGGAAAAAAACAUCUGGGCAUGAAGGCAUUAAGUAGGGUACUCUACACGCUGAUUUUUAGAACGACGUGUAGGACAGUACAUACUAUGUCUGAGUUGUCACCGUUGAGGUAAAAAUUUAUGUAAUGAUGUUGGUUUUGCAACAUUUGUUGCAUGGUUACUGAUUAAUUUUUGGUAUGAAUAUAUAAAUAUAUAUGUUUUUAUAAGCAUAUCGAACAUCGAUGAUUUUGGUGAUUUGGAAUAUGAUGUAGUUGUUUUGAAUUUGGCCAGAAAUAUAAUAUGAAAUUAUGUUUUCUUUGGCCCAAAUAAAAUUGAAUAAUUUGAUUGCAGAAUAAAAGGAUUUAUAUUAGCCAUGUUAUGGAUUGUCAAUUACUGGCUGCAUCAUAACACUUUGGUUUGCUGCCAUGGGCUGAAGCAUGGGUAUUUUGGAUUUCUAAUCUCGGGCCAAAUCAUGGCACUAUGGUUUGCCACCAUGGACUGAGGCAUGGUUAUUAUGGUUGCACCAUAGGCUGAAGUGGGGCAUUAUGGUUUGCCGCCACAAGCCAAAGUAUGGCAUUAUGGUUUGCCACCACGGGGCAAAGCAUGGCAUUAUGGUUUGCCGUCAUGGGCUGAAGCAUGACAUUAUGGUUUGUUAGUCACGGGUUGAAGUGUGAUCGUGGAUAGUCCAAAUUAAAAAGAUAAUUAUUGAUUGAAAAUCUGGAUAGUAAUGAAUGAUAAGAUAUACGAAACUGUUAGAUUGAUGAUAUAUCUAAUAUGUUUCCUUGAAAUAGAUAUAUAUUUAAUGAUGUAUAUUUGUGUCUAUAUAUAGAUGGAUUUAUUUGAGCCUAUGCUGAAUAGUUGGUACGGGAUUUUAUAAUUUUUUUCUACAUUUGAUAUAAUUUGUAGCUAAACUUUUUUUAAAUUUACUUUAUCUAUAUUGAUGUGAGUGUGGAGAAUUUUUGUUGGGUUGUAAAGCUCACACAGUCUUUUCUCUUUUUCUUUUGGAGUUGCAGGACGUGUAGUCUCGAUUGGGUUAGGGAUAGAGUUCGAGCAAUGAAGUUAUUAGUUAGAAAGUUGAUUUUUCUUUUAAAUACCAAAUGAAUAUUUGAAUUUUGUAAUGCAGUAAAUUUAGUUAGACUGUGUGAUGGAUUUAUUUAGUUAGACUAUUAUGGUUAAAUUUUAUAAUAAUUUAAUUAUUUUGGUGUUCUUGGAAGUUUCAUACAUCUUAUAGGCCAUGCAUGAUCCCUCGGGCAUCGAUUUAGGGCUCAUAUGGCUAUGUCACAUGGUUGACCUAGGUGAUAGGUUCAGAGCGUGAUAAUUAUCCACAUGAGAGAAGGAUAUGUUUACAACGUGAAGGUAAGAAAUAGCACUAAAUAAACAAAUUAAAAAUUUGGUGGUCUUGAAUGUUUUUGAGUUAUCUGGUAUCUAUUUCUAGGUUUCAAGCAAAUUUUUUUUUUUUACUUUUUUCCUUCAAAAAUAUUUAUUAUUUAUUUUAUAUGUCAUUUUUAGUUUUUAAUUUUGCUUGAAUUUGUAUUUUUAAUAAUUUCUUAUCUUAUAUAUCUUGUUUUUUGUGUUUAUAUUUACUAUUCAACCAUGCAUUUUUUACAAUUUUAUUUUACUUCUAUUUCACAUUUAACUUUUAUCUUAUUAAAUUUUAGUUCAAUUUAUUUCUAAUAAUGUCUUUUUUCUAUCAUUUCCUAUAUUUUGAUUAUUCUAUUUUAAUCUUCUUCUUUUUCCAUAUUUUAAUUUACUUUACAUUUUCUAAUUUAUGUUAUUUUUAUUUUCUUCUAAUUCAUUUCUUGAUCAAUUAUUUAUAUUAUUUUAUGCAUUCAAUUUGUCAUUUUCUUUGUUUGCAUAUUAGAUGAUAUAUUUCAAAUGAAAAAAUAACAACAUAUUUAACUUAUUUUGAUUAUUCUAUUUUUUUCCAAGCAUGCAUGGCAAAUGCACUUUUGCUACUAUUGAAUAAAUAUCCUAAUGCUAUAAUAUAAAUAUAUGUAGAAGGGGUAGUGAUAUGGCCUAAAACAACCCAUCUAUCAUGGGUUGACAAGUGGCAAGCAAUUUCAAAUGGAUUUAAAUCCUAGAUGGAAUAGUAACAGCUCCACAAUUAAGAGAAUUUAGAUAAGGAAUGAGGUUAUGACUCAUAAGGAAGGAUAGUUAUGGCUUAUCCCUUGAUUUCCGCCUUCAAUCAUAACUUUCCCCUUAUAUGAAUAGAGCCAACAGAACCCAAAGGGACAAGCUCUUAUAGCUAGAAGCUCUUAUAGCUGGAAGCUUUCAUAGCCCAUCCAUUAGCUAAUCGAUCAUUAUAUUCUUUUUUCUUGUAGGUCUAUGAGUUAACAUCUUGCAGGUCAAUGAACUGUCAAGGUCGAGGUGUGAAGGCUGACUUGAGAAAGACCAAGGUAAGAAGGCCGAGAUGAGAAGGCCGAGGUGAGAAGGUCGAGGUGAGAAGGCUGACUUGAGAAGGCCGAGGCGAGAUGGCCGACCUAUGAAGGCCGAGGUAAUAAGGCCGACCUGUGAAGGCCAAGGUGAGAAGGCCGACUUAAGAAGGCUGAAGUGAGAAGGCCGAGGUAAGAAGGCUGAGGUGAGAAAGGCUAGCUAACCAGACUGACCUAUCUUGGCCAAGCUAUCUAGCAGCCCAAGGCACCAAGUACACAAAUCAAAAUAUUCUACACUACUCUUAUGUUUCUCUUAUAUUUUCUAUCUCCUAUUGUUAUUCCAAAGCCCUUCCUGACUUAGGCACCAGAGUGCGUGAUCGGAGCCAAUCUGGCAAGCCUUUCUUUUCUUAUUGUGUGCAGAUCAUCAUCUCUCCAUAAUAGAUCAGCGCUUCAUUUACCAGUGCAGCAGAUCGAUCAAUGCCCUCCUCGUCUCUAAAUCACCAGACCGAAUUUUGAGCAUCAAUAGAUUGGUGCCAUCUAUGGGAAACAAAAAAUAUUCCAUCUUCUUUGUUUGCUAGAUCUAAGCAUUGGCAAUGAUCUCAUGGUUGAUGCAUCCGCGAGCACCUCAGUGUAUCACAUGAGCCUAUAAUCGGUAUUUCGAUAUGUCAUGUGUGAAAAUUGAUUUAUGAUCUAACCAUUUAUAAGUGGUUUCUGUUUCCACUCAAAACCUAACCUGACAGGUGGAUAAGCUGACGAGCGAUAUUGCUUUGCUCUGUCGGGCUGGAGUAAUGUUCUCAAUUUUCAAUUUUUUGAGUUGUUACAAACUUUUUCUGACUUAGUUUUUGUCUUUGCAAAUAUGAUGGACAAAUCUAUGGUAUGGAAGGCGGCCAUUGCCAAGUGCAAGGUGGCGAUGGAGAGUGGCCCGUCAUUGUUCCCCAAAGGGCCACUUGACGCUUCCCCCUCUCGCUUGGGUCGAGUGCAGCUACAACUGCCUUGGCCCCUCAAGCCAGUCGGUAUCCAUCUAGAGCCCUCCAAGCAGACCUCAGUAUGCAGAUCCUGUUGACUCCUUGGUCCGUUCCUCCCAAGGCACCUAAACCUUCCUCGAUCCCAACUUCCAAGGAGGAGGUCCACUACCCCAGUAGAACCUUCAAGUCUUUUUCCUCAACUCUGAUGGACCCAAAGGUGUCUUGGGAUCUGAUUAAGGGGAUUGUCCUCCUUGCUGAUUGGAAUAGGCUAGAGGAUAGGAAAUGGGAGCCUUUUUGAUGAGGCCUGCCAUGAAGGUAAGCACCACCUUAUGUUCUAUAGAUCUUUCAUCAAGCUAUUUUAUCGCUAACAACUGUCUUCUCCUUUAGAGCACUGUCCACAUUGUGCGCAUUCAUGAGUGGCAUCGUCAGCUCUAGCAGCAUGCUAGGAAAAUGGAGCAGAAGUCGGAUGAGGAGAAAAAGAGAAUGGUUGAGCUGGAGGCAUAGUUGAAGGCCACCUUUUUCUGAGGAACAGAUCCUCUGAGCUGUGGAGGCAUACAAGGCCUCAUAGAAAUUUUAGAAGGACCUUGCCUCUGCCUCUAUCGACUCCUAUCUGCACAGUAUUUAAGACUGUCUGCAUUCAGCAAAGAGGCUCUUCCUUAAGUUCGACUUCAACUGUAUUGCCCCACCCGAGGAUGAUGAUGAUGAGGAAUCUAAGAAGUAGGAGGAAGAUGAGGCCGAGGUAGUAGAAUGGGAGGAGGGUACAACUAAGCAGAUGCAAUGGGCGAAGGGUCCGUUGAUCCCCCCCAUGCUUGUUGUCGACCUUCCUCUGGUGGAUUUGUAUGGGUGUUUUGGAUAGAAAGCAUCCGGAUGAUUAGGCCAGGCAUAUUUCGGUGGUCGUUGUGAGACUAAUCCGAUAUUUCAUUCGUGAUUGAUGAUUUAGCAUUCUUGCUAGGCCUAUGGGGAUAAUAGAUUUGUCAACCCUAAAGGAUGAAUUUUGAUGAUUACAAAACACUUGAGAUAAUGUUGUGUACUAAUG
Molecule: long non-coding RNA, 4963 nt
Filed under: Phoenix dactylifera (date palm)
Lineage: Eukaryota; Viridiplantae; Streptophyta; Magnoliopsida; Arecales; Arecaceae
Description: long non-coding RNA (PDAC_LNC009160)
Source: RNAcentral